This 253-nucleotide ribosomal RNA is filed under the name uncultured bacterium. RNAcentral describes it as "partial 16S ribosomal RNA". It matches the Rfam family "Bacterial small subunit ribosomal RNA", at positions 524 to 776 of the family's 1533-position model. The record is from RNAcentral.
UACGGAGGGUGCAAGCAUUAAUCGGAAUAAUUGGGCGUAAAGGGCGCGUAGGCGGGAACUUAAGUCAGAUGUGAAAUCCCAGAGCUUAACUCUGGAACUGCAUUUGAAACUGGGUUUCUUGAGGGUAGAUGGAGAAAGUAGAAUUCCACAAGUAGCGGUGAAAUGCGUAGAUAUGUGGAAGAAUACCGGUGGCGAAGGCGACCUUCUAAUUUACACCUGACGCUGAGGCGCGAAAGCAAGGGGAGCAAACAGG